Oreochromis aureus is the source of this 816-nucleotide long non-coding RNA. The record is from Ensembl. Lineage: Eukaryota; Metazoa; Chordata; Actinopteri; Cichliformes; Cichlidae.
AGUGUUUUCACCUCUUCAAUAAAAGAGAAAGUCUGGGGUAGUCUGCAGAAAAGAUAUCAGGAUGAAAACCUUCAGAAAUUUCUGAAGGAGGCCACGAUGAUGGACCCAUGUUUUAAAGGCAGGCUAGGUGGUGAGACAGCUACUGACAUCUGGGACAGGUUGGAGAAGGCAGCAGUUGCAAAUGCCACAGCAGCAGUUGCACAGCCUCCCACUGAGGACCCCAAAGCACACAGCGAGGUGGAUGAUGCUGACAUGGACAAGCCAGAAAAAUAUCUAAGUAAGGUCCAGAAGUCACCCUUAGAAAAGCUGUUUGAGGAUGAAGACAGAGAGCUUCAACAGGCUGCUUCUCAAGCGGGUAGAGUCCCCUCAAUCACAGAGCAGGUACAGAAGGAGCUUCAAAUAUACAAAAGACUGCCAGGAAUUACCUCUGGACAAGACCCUGUGGCCUGGUGGUGGAGUAAGAGGGAUACACUCCCCAAUUUAUCUGCCCUAUCAGAAAAAUACUUGUGUGUCCCAGCCUCAUCAACGCCUUCUGAAAGAGUUUUCUCUUGUGCUGGGCAUGCCAUCAGCCAAGAGCGAUGCCGUGUAGCUCCAGAAAAGGCUAAUAUGAUUAUCUUCUUGCAAAAAAACUGCUAAACAUCACAGGUUUCAUGACAAAGUUUGUGUUUUCAAUUGUUUAAGCACUGGUUCCAACCAAAGAAGUUAUGUUUUAUUGACAGAAAGGGCUAACUUUGUUAUCAUUUUGCUUAAAAAAAAUUACUGGGAAAAAUAAAAACAUAAGAGGUUUUUGGACGAAGUUUGUGUUCUUUAUUCUUU